AGGAUUUGUUUUUGUUAUGGAAGGAGCAAAAUUCGUCUUUAAAUACUAUUAGCGCAUAAUCAUAAAAUCUUAAAAAACAAAUUUGUAUGGGAGAAUAUUUUCUCCGACACAGCACAUGCGUUCAAUUAAACAUUUUGAAAAUCUUGUCUCGGUGAUGGAUUUGAUGAAAGUUUAGUUGGGUUAAGUUAACUAUCGGGAACAUACCUCAAAACCGUAAAUAUAUUCCACCUUCGAAAUUUUUCCCAUUUUAACCGCUGUCCAUAUGUUCAGUCAAAUAUAUAAACGUAUUCAGAUUUUAGUUGCUCCAGACCACUAUUCCUUUAGCGCCCUUUUAUAAAAACAAUUCAUAUUUGUCGCUCUAUAAAACACUAUGUUAUACCUUAAUGCGCUGGUGUGAACUAUAGGACAGGGUUAAUAAUGAAAAUAAAAACCUACUAGUUUACCAAGUCUUAUAAUAAUAUGAUUUACCUCUUAACAACUAGCACUCGGGGGCCAAUGCUCCUUUGUCCUUCCCCCCCCCUUAAAUCCGCCCCUGGGAAAAUUUUAAGUACGUCUGUAUAGUAGGUACAGGGUUCAUGUAAUUCGUUCAACUGGAAUACGCUUUAUUUUAUUUUUAGUCGCAAAGUUUGAAAUGACGGUGUACGAUGGGACGGACGGGAUGCGACGUAAAACAUUAAAAUCGCUUUGCCGUCCAUAAAUCACGCGCCCGACUCGAAGUUUUAAAGCGAUUUCAAGAGGAAUUACUACGCAUAAACUUGGUAGGUAUACAUAAUAAUAUUAUAUAAGCGGCCGUUUGAUUGCCCUCGUCAUUAAGGACGAGUCGUCGGUAGGUAUACAAAAGUUAAAACUGUAGGAAAAUAGGUAUAUGUGUCUUUUGUUUAGAUAGUGUGAAUCCAAAUGUAGUUUCAUAAUUUCCUUUUGAAAACCGUUUUACAGCAUCUUAAAGGCAAAUUAGAAUAACGAAAACAAUAUUAGAAAUGUACAUAAAAUGUUCGUUUUUGUUCACCUUAUUUUCUCUGUGUAAUGAAAACGAACAAAUGAUAAAUUGCCCCGUCGCUAUUCAGGAGGCGAUAAAAAAAAAAAAAAAAAAAAAAAAAAAAAAAAAAGGAAAAAUACGAUUUACAAUUUGAAAAUCUAAAAGCGAUGUUAUAAAUAACGAGGCGCGUUAUAAUAAUGAUACCGCUUAAAAAAGACGGAGGUAAACUGCAGAAAUCCAAUAUACUUGAAACUUAUUUAUAUAUAUAUAUACGAGUAUUUAUAGUGACCUAUUAUUGUACGAGAUUAAUCGUCGGUUCAAGAUCGAAAAAAAAUAUAUUACUAUUACUUUUGUCGCGGUUAGUAUUCGCACGUCAUGACGGCCGACUGUACGACGGAAAUCAUUGUUUCUGAACAAAAGUGCAGUUAUAACCGUUAACAAUAUCCUUUGUUCUUGCCAAAGCCGUUCGUAAAUAUAAUGUCCGUAAAAACCGGCGCGAGAACACCAAUAAAUAUAAUAUUUGGUAGGUUCGAAUAAACAUUCCGUUUUCAGAAUCUGUACAUUAAUUCUGCGGACAUUAACGUUACCGAUACUGUUACCCGAAACAAAAUCUUACCCGACGUUGGUUUUGCACAACGGACCGGGAAUUUAUUUUCUAUUAAUUUCCGCC
Cinara cedri is the source of this 1646-nucleotide non-coding RNA. The record is from the annotation of a GenBank genome assembly. NCBI's taxonomy places the organism in Eukaryota, Metazoa, Arthropoda, Insecta, Hemiptera, Aphididae.